GUAGGGAAUAUUGGGCAAUGGUCGGAAGACUGACCCAGCCAUGCCGCGUGCAGGAAGACGGCCCUCUGGGUUGUAAACUGCUUUUAUCUGGGAAGAAAAAGGCCAUGCGUGGCAAAUUGCCGGUACCAGAUGAAUAAGCACCGGCUAACUCCGUGCCAGCAGCCGCGGUAAUACGGAGGGUGCGAGCGUUGUCCGGAUUUAUUGGGUUUAAAGGGUGCGUAGGCGGCUGCGUAAGUCAGCGGUGAAAGACUUCGGCUUAACCGGAGCAGUGCCGUUGAUACUGGUUGGCUUGAGUGUCGGAGGGGUACAUGGAAUUGAUGGUGUAGCGGUGAAAUGCAUAGAUACCAUCAGGAACACCGAUAGCGAAGGCAUUGUACUGGCCGACAACUGACGCUGAUGCACGAAAGUGUGGGGAUCGAACAGGAUUAGAAACCCUAGUAGUCC
This 444-nucleotide ribosomal RNA is filed under the name uncultured bacterium. RNAcentral describes it as "partial 16S ribosomal RNA". It matches the Rfam family "Bacterial small subunit ribosomal RNA", at positions 354 to 796 of the family's 1533-position model. The record is from RNAcentral.